RNAcentral lists this ribosomal RNA (253 nucleotides) under uncultured bacterium. Its description in RNAcentral is "partial 16S ribosomal RNA". It matches the Rfam family "Bacterial small subunit ribosomal RNA", at positions 524 to 776 of the family's 1533-position model. The record is from RNAcentral.
UACGUAGGGUGCAAGCGUUGUCCGGAAUUAUUGGGCGUAAAGAGCUCGUAGGCGGUCUGUCGCGUCGAAUGUGAAAACCCGGGGCUCAACUCCGGGCCUGCAUUCGAUACGGGCAGACUAGAGUUCGGUAGGGGAGUCUGGAAUUCCUAGUGUAGCGGUGAAAUGCGCAGAUAUCAGGAGGAACACCGGUGGCGAAGGCGGGACUCUGGGCCGAUACUGACGCUGAGGAGCGAAAGCGUGGGGAGCAAACAGG